RNAcentral lists this ribosomal RNA (475 nucleotides) under uncultured bacterium. Its description in RNAcentral is "partial 16S ribosomal RNA". It matches the Rfam family "Bacterial small subunit ribosomal RNA", at positions 28 to 507 of the family's 1533-position model. The record is from RNAcentral.
GAUGAACGCUGGCGGCGUGCUUAACACAUGCAAGUCGAACGAUGAACCUCACUUGUGGGGGGAUUAGUGGCGAACGGGUGAGUAACACGUGAGUAACCUGCCCUUGACUCUGGGAUAAGCCUGGGAAACCGGGUCUAAUACUGGAUACGACCUUCUGGCGCAUGCCAUGUUGGUGGAAAGCUUUUGUGGUUUUGGAUGGACUCGCGGCCUAUCAGCUUGUUGGUGGGGUAAUGGCCUACCAAGGCGACGACGGGUAGCCGGCCUGAGAGGGUGACCGGCCACACUGGGACUGAGACACGGCCCAGAGUCCUACGGGAGGCAGCAGUGGGGAAUAUUGCACAAUGGGCGCAAGCCUGAUGCAGCGACGCCGCGUGAGGGAUGAAGGCCUUCGGGUUGUAAACCUCUUUCAGUAGGGAAGAAGCCGGCUUUUGGGUUGGUGACGGUACCUGCAGAAGAAGCGCCGGCUAACUACGUG